Long non-coding RNA from Clupea harengus (Atlantic herring), 1461 nucleotides. The record is from Ensembl. NCBI's taxonomy places the organism in Eukaryota, Metazoa, Chordata, Actinopteri, Clupeiformes, Clupeidae.
ACCCCCCACAAUCUACACAUCUACAACAUCUACUAUACUUGAUGCAGGGAUUGGCGUGUUUGUGCAGAGCAAGAGGUGGAAAGUGAAGGAACUACUAGAAAAAAAUGAAUCAAAUAUUAAUUGUAACAAUUACAAAUGUGCGUGUGUGGACACCUUAUAUUAAAUUAGAUUAGAUUAGAUUAGACAUUAUGGAAUAAUGUAAGAAGAUAUUGCGGAAGGGAAGUUCUGGACAUGUCAUUGUAGUCUCCUGCAUAGUCUCCUGUUCUCAUGGAUUUGUCGUUUCUGGGGACUAAAAUAAUCAGCUGUCCUCAGGGGCCCUCUUCCAGCUCUGGAUGCCUGCUUUGCCUCCCCUGUCAUAGAAUGCGGGAAAAUUCUGCCAUUUCUACACCGUUUUUGCUUAUAGCACAUACAUUGGUAACGAUAUACUACUGAUCACUAACUGGAUCGACUUGCAGAUAAUCUGUAUAGAGUUAGUUUCACACAGAGUUUGGUUCACCUGGAAAAAGCAGUAUGUGAAGUCAACCAUGCAUCUGUCGAGUUGCAUUACAGUUUCUGAAGGCCUCCAGCACACAGCCAUUCAGUGGGGCUGAAUUCACUUUCUGUCCUACAGAGAAGGUAGGGAAAAAAAACAGACCUCUUGCUCUGUCAAGCAUCCUCGAGUGGAGUGCAGUUUCUGUUACUGCCGCUCUCUUAGGUACAUGCAGUGCAUGGGUACAGCAGCGCGACUGGACUGAACCCUCGCCAGGUGAGAGGAGGGAAGAAGUGCCCAGAGUCUGCGACGGGGUGGCAGGGGCGUGGUGCAGCGGAGUGGCGGCGGCCCAUUCCACGAAAGCAUUCCAGAGCCCUGCGUGGCUGCCCCGGCGAGUCUCAGGGAGUGACUCAGUCGCGCCCCUGGGCUCGGAGGAAUCAUGUGAGAGCCUCAUUCUUGGCAUUCCAUUUAGUUUUGUACCAAUCCACACUCGGGCUGAGUCAUCCAAAGAUCGGGGAGGGGAACACACUCAGUCACACACACACACACACACACACACACAGACACAGACAUGCAUUCACACACACAAACGCACACGCACACACACAAAUGCACCCAGACACACACACACACACACACACACACACACAAACGCGCACACACACAAACGCGCACACACAAAUGCACACACACACACAAACGCACACACACACACAAACGCACACACACACACAAACGCACACAAACGCAUACAAAAUAAAUGGACGCUCCCCACCCUGCGCUCUCUCUGUCUCUGUCUGACUGUUGCUAUUUCUUUGUUUUCUUCAAGGUUACUCCUCUCCCUCCCCCCAUCCAAGGCCUGUUCCCUAGCGCCACCCCUGCUCUCUCUGUGCCCAGUCAAACCGAACCACGCCCAAUGGAGCUCAGAGGCCUGAGCUGCAUACCAAGAGAGCGAGCACAUGGUGGAAGAGGAGAGGCUCACUUCAACAAGC